Molecule: long non-coding RNA, 965 nt
Organism: Paramormyrops kingsleyae
Lineage: Eukaryota; Metazoa; Chordata; Actinopteri; Osteoglossiformes; Mormyridae
Source: RefSeq, a predicted model, not a curated record
CCUUGCAGAACCCUGCCGCUUCCAGGACCCCGGGUCGUGAUGUGGUCCUUCGCUUGUCCUUAUCACUUUUCCUGCCCAGCUAACGAUGCUGUAUCCGUUGGACGGAGAACUGAUAAGGGCGCGCGACUGACGCUGUCUGCGUUUGGUGAAGACACCCGGGCCCGGUGUACGGCCGCUUCAGACCACAAUUGCAGGACCAUUAAAAUACUGGGAGGCUCCUCUGAGUUCCCCUUAAAAAGGCUUCUGAGAAUUUCUCAAGUCACCAACCUGCUUUGAAAUAUAUGGACGACUAUAUUACCUCCAGCCAGAAGGGGGCACUGUGACUCUUUCUUAUGGAGAAGCACCUCCCAUAACUAUGAUACAGCUUCACGUAGUAUAGCCGUCCUGCUGGAUCAAGCUUCACAUGGAGUCCCCUGGACAUUGCUGUUCCCUCCAGAUCAUAUAGUCAACUUGUCUGUUCAUAAAUUUAAUAGUUAUUAUAAAUGUAAAUACAUUUAUAAUGCAUAAUUUAUUUGAACCAAAUUCCAUUGCACAUAGAGUCGCUGGUUCAAGGAAACCUUGUAAACCAGAGUCAGUGGAGAGGCUCCCAGUUUAGUCCUGCUGUCCUCCCUGUCCCAGCUUCUGUUACCAUGUUUGCUGUUUGUUAGCCCUACGAGCAGAUCUAGACUUUCUUAAAUUGGAGGCUAUUAAAACUCAGCAAUUCCUUCUCCCCGUAACCAUAGAAACUAUAUUACCAAGCGACAGUCCGACACUUGCUUGUAAGUUUGGUGUUGGCAGGCUUCAUAUUGCAAAUGGGUUUUCUGUCUGUGUGGUUUUCGUGUUUCUCUGCGGGUAAUAGGUAGUGUAAUGAGAACAGACCCUGAUCUCAUUUGGUAUGACACUGUAACUGGAGGGACACUGUUAUCACAGCCUGCCGUGUCACAAAAAACAGAAAGGUAUAAGCUUCAAUAAAAGUAUGGAAGUCA